AUGUUUAAAAAUUCCCAACCACCUUCAUCUAUAAACCUUUGGGGAUCUUCAGUUAUGGUCUUCAGUACUUCACGCCAAUUCAGGUUCAUCUUGCUCUCAUAAUACUUGAUGUCAGUUGUGUCAAGCCACUCCUUGAUGCCAUCAAGUGCAGAGACAGGAAUUGAAUCUAUGCGCAUGACAUCACGCUUGAAGUCCUUGAAGACAAUUGCCAUAUCAAAAUUCUUCUGCCCAAAUCCAACUCUCUCCAAGUUGACAAUCUCAAUAUCACUUAAGGUUAUUACGAGAAAUGGGGUCUCUAUCAGCUCAACCAAACAGCUUGAGGUUGGCACAAUGAAUGCUGAUGAUUUAUAGGGCACCCCAUGGAACCCAAGUUCUCUCAGAGGUUGAUCAAACUCCAGGUCAAGUCCUUUAAGCUGGGGCUGGCUCCACACAUCAUUCACCCGGUUCACAAAAUUCUGAAAGUCCAUGUUGAAUUUGUUCUUCCGAUCUCUUUCUCUCUGUUCUUCCUCAAUCUCAUCUGGG
This 522-nucleotide unclassified non-coding RNA is filed under the name Hevea brasiliensis (rubber tree). The record is from RNAcentral. Lineage: Eukaryota; Viridiplantae; Streptophyta; Magnoliopsida; Malpighiales; Euphorbiaceae.